UACCNUGCAGUCGAGCGGACCAAUGCUCAUUUCAGCUUCGCUGAUUUGAGCAACGGUUAGCGGCGGACGGGUGAGUAACGCGUGGGCAACCUGCCCUGUGCAGGGGGAUAACACAGCGAAAGCUGUGCUAAUACCCCAUAAGACUACGUUAUCGCAUGAUAGAGUAGUCAAAGCUUUAGCGGCACAGGAUGGGCCCGCGUCUGAUUAGCUAGUUGGUGGGGUAACGGCCUACCAAGGCGACGAUCAGUAGCCGACCUGAGAGGGUGAUCGGCCACACUGGAACUGAGACACGGUCCAGACUCCUACGGGAGGCAGCAGUGGGGAAUAUUGCACAAUGGGGGAAACCCUGAUGCAGCAACGCCGCGUGAGCGAAGAAGGCCUUCGGGUCGUAAAGCUCUGCCCUAAGGGAAGAAGUAUGACGGUACCUUAGGAGGAAGCCCCGACUAACUACGUGCCAGCAGCCGCGGUAAUACGUAGGGGGCGAGCGUUAUCCGGAAUCACUGGGCGUAAAGGGUGCGUAGGCGGCCGAGUAAGCCAGAGGUGAAAGGCUACGGCUUAACCGUAGUAAGCCUUUGGAACUACUUGGCUUGAGUGCAGGAGAGGAGAGUGGAAUUCCUAGUGUAGCGGUGAAAUGCGUAGAUAUUAGGAGGAACACCCAGUGGCGAAGGCGACUCUCUGGACUGUAACUGACGCUGANGCACGAAAGCGUGGGGAGCAAACAGGAUUAGAUACCCUGGUAGUCCACGCCGUAAACGAUGAGUGCUAGGUGUCGGGGGUUCACACCCUCGGUGCCGGAGUUAAGCAAUAAGCACUCCGCCUGGGGAGUACGGUCGCAAGACUGAANCUCNAAGGAAUUGACGGGGAC
RNAcentral lists this ribosomal RNA (865 nucleotides) under uncultured Caminicella sp. RNAcentral describes it as "bacterial SSU rRNA". It matches the Rfam family "Bacterial small subunit ribosomal RNA", at positions 52 to 920 of the family's 1533-position model. Lineage: Bacteria; Bacillati; Bacillota; Clostridia; Peptostreptococcales; Caminicellaceae. The record is from RNAcentral.